UGGGGAAUCUUCGGCAAUGGACGCAAGUCUGACCGAGCAACGCCGCGUGAGUGAAGAAGGCCUCGGAUCGUAAAACUCUGUUGAUAGAGAAAAACAAGGACGUUAGUAACUGAACGUCCCCUGACGGUAUCUAACCAGAAAGCCACGGCUAACCACGUGCCAGCAGCCGCGGUAAUACGUAGGUGGCAAGCGUUGUCCGGAAUUAUUGGGCGUAAAGCGAGCGCAGGCGGUUUCUUAAGUCCGGUGUGAAAGCCCCCGGCUCAACCGGGGAAGGUCAUUGGAGACUGGGAGGCUUGAGUGCGGAAGAGGGGAGUGGAAUUCCAUGUGUAGCGGUGAAAUGCGUAGAUAUAUGGAGGAACACCAGUGGCGAAGGCGGCUCUCUGGUCUGUAACUGACGCUGAGGCUCGAAAGCGUGGGGAGCAAACAGG
This 428-nucleotide ribosomal RNA is filed under the name Gemmatimonadota bacterium. RNAcentral describes it as "Gemmatimonadetes bacterium partial 16S ribosomal RNA". It matches the Rfam family "Bacterial small subunit ribosomal RNA", at positions 355 to 776 of the family's 1533-position model. The record is from RNAcentral. Lineage: Bacteria; Pseudomonadati; Gemmatimonadota.